UAAAAGUCUAACCAAACCUGGAGAUAUCUCGUUCUCUCCGAAAUAGCUAUAGGGCUAGCCUUGAGAAACUACUUUACAGGGGUAGAGCUACUGAAUGGGGAUGAGGGGCCACCAGCCUACUUACCCCAACCAAACUCCGAAUACUGUAAAGACUAUCUCAGGAGUCAGACUGUGGGGGAUAACCUCCAUGGUCAAGAGGGAAACAACCCAGACCGCCAGCUAAGGUCCCGAAGUUUUGCUAAGUUCUUAAGGAAGUUGAAUUGCUGUAACAGCCAGGAUGUUGGCUUAGAAGCAGCCACCAUUUAAAAAGUGCGUAAUAGCUUACUGGU
This 329-nucleotide ribosomal RNA is filed under the name marine sediment metagenome. RNAcentral's name for it is "LSU rRNA". It matches the Rfam family "Bacterial large subunit ribosomal RNA", at positions 822 to 1149 of the family's 2925-position model. The record is from RNAcentral.